RNAcentral lists this ribosomal RNA (2848 nucleotides) under human oral metagenome. Its description in RNAcentral is "bacterial LSU rRNA". It matches the Rfam family "Bacterial large subunit ribosomal RNA". The record is from RNAcentral.
CGUGCUAAUCUGCGAAAAGCGUCGGUAAGGUGAUAUGAACCGUUAUAACCGGCGAUACCCGAAUGGGGAAACCCAGUGUGUUUCGACACACUAUCAUGUCAUGAAUACAUAGUGGCAUGAGGCGAACCGGGGGAACUGAAACAUCUAAGUACCCCGAGGAAAAGAAAUCAACCGAGAUUCCCCCAGUAGCGGCGAGCGAACGGGGAGGAGCCCAGAGCCUGAAUCAGUGUGUGUGUUAGUGGAAGCGUCUGGAAAGGCGUGCGAUACAGGGUGACAGCCCCGUACACAAAAAUGCACAUAUUGUGAGCUCGAUGAGUAGGGCGGGACACGUGGUAUCCUGUCUGAAUAUGGGGGGACCAUCCUCCAAGGCUAAAUACUCCUGACUGACCGAUAGUGAACCAGUACCGUGAGGGAAAGGCGAAAAGAACCCCGGCGAGGGGAGUGAAAAAGAACCUGAAACCGUGUACGUACAAGCAGUGGGAGCCUCUUAAUGGGGUGACUGCGUACCUUUUGUAUAAUGGGUCAGCGACUUAUAUUCUGUAGCAAGGUUAACCGAAUAGGGGAGCCGAAGGGAAACCGAGUCUUAACUGGGCGUUAAGUUGCAGGGUAUAGACCCGAAACCCGGUGAUCUAGCCAUGGGCAGGUUGAAGGUUGGGUAACACUAACUGGAGGACCGAACCGACUAAUGUUGAAAAAUUAGCGGAUGACUUGUGGCUGGGGGUGAAAGGCCAAUCAAACCGGGAGAUAGCUGGUUCUCCCCGAAAGCUAUUUAGGUAGCGCCUCGUGAAUUCAUCUCCGGGGGUAGAGCACUGUUUCGGCAAGGGGGUCAUCCCGACUUACCAACCCGAUGCAAACUGCGAAUACCGGAGAAUGUUAUCACGGGAGACACACGGCGGGUGCUAACGUCCGUCGUGAAGAGGGAAACAACCCAGACCGCCAGCUAAGGUCCCAAAGUCAUGGUUAAGUGGGAAACGAUGUGGGAAGGCCCAGACAGCCAGGAUGUUGGCUUAGAAGCAGCCAUCAUUUAAAGAAAGCGUAAUAGCUCACUGGUCGAGUCGGCCUGCGCGGAAGAUGUAACGGGGCUAAACCAUGCACCGAAGCUGCGGCAGCGACACUAUGUGUUGUUGGGUAGGGGAGCGUUCUGUAAGCCUGUGAAGGUGGCCUGUGAGGGUUGCUGGAGGUAUCAGAAGUGCGAAUGCUGACAUAAGUAACGAUAAAGCGGGUGAAAAGCCCGCUCGCCGGAAGACCAAGGGUUCCUGUCCAACGUUAAUCGGGGCAGGGUGAGUCGACCCCUAAGGCGAGGCCGAAAGGCGUAGUCGAUGGGAAACAGGUUAAUAUUCCUGUACUUGGUGUUACUGCGAAGGGGGGACGGAGAAGGCUAUGUUGGCCGGGCGACGGUUGUCCCGGUUUAAGCGUGUAGGCUGGUUUUCCAGGCAAAUCCGGAAAACCAAGGCUGAGGCGUGAUGACGAGGCACUACGGUGCUGAAGCGACAAAUGCCCUGCUUCCAGGAAAAGCCUCUAAGCAUCAGGUAACAUCAAAUCGUACCCCAAACCGACACAGGUGGUCAGGUAGAGAAUACCAAGGCGCUUGAGAGAACUCGGGUGAAGGAACUAGGCAAAAUGGUGCCGUAACUUCGGGAGAAGGCACGCUGAUAUGUAGGUGAAGCGACUUGCUCGUGGAGCUGAAAUCAGUCGAAGAUACCAGCUGGCUGCAACUGUUUAUUAAAAACACAGCACUGUGCAAACACGAAAGUGGACGUAUACGGUGUGACGCCUGCCCGGUGCUGGAAGGUUAAUUGAUGGGGUCAGCCGCAAGGCGAAGCUCUUGAUCGAAGCCCCAGUAAACGGCGGCCGUAACUAUAACGGUCCUAAGGUAGCGAAAUUCCUUGUCGGGUAAGUUCCGACCUGCACGAAUGGCGUAAUGAUGGCCAGGCUGUCUCCACCCGAGACUCAGUGAAAUUGAACUCGCUGUGAAGAUGCAGUGUACCCGCGGCAAGACGGAAAGACCCCGUGAACCUUUACUAUAGCUUGACACUGAACAUUGAGCCUUGAUGUGUAGGAUAGGUGGGAGGCUUUGAAGUGUGGACGCCAGUCUGCAUGGAGCCGACCUUGAAAUACCACCCUUUAAUGUUUGAUGUUCUAACGUUGGCCCGUAAUCCGGGUUGCGGACAGUGUCUGGUGGGUAGUUUGACUGGGGCGGUCUCCUCCUAAAGAGUAACGGAGGAGCACGAAGGUUGGCUAAUCCUGGUCGGACAUCAGGAGGUUAGUGCAAUGGCAUAAGCCAGCUUGACUGCGAGCGUGACGGCGCGAGCAGGUGCGAAAGCAGGUCAUAGUGAUCCGGUGGUUCUGAAUGGAAGGGCCAUCGCUCAACGGAUAAAAGGUACUCCGGGGAUAACAGGCUGAUACCGCCCAAGAGUUCAUAUCGACGGCGGUGUUUGGCACCUCGAUGUCGGCUCAUCACAUCCUGGGGCUGAAGUAGGUCCCAAGGGUAUGGCUGUUCGCCAUUUAAAGUGGUACGCGAGCUGGGUUUAGAACGUCGUGAGACAGUUCGGUCCCUAUCUGCCGUGGGCGUUGGAAGAUUGAGAGGGGUUGCUCCUAGUACGAGAGGACCGGAGUGAACGCACCACUGGUGUUCGGGUUGUCAUGCCAAUGGCAUUGCCCGGUAGCUAAGUGCGGAAAAGAUAAGCGCUGAAAGCAUCUAAGCGCGAAACUUGCCUCAAGAUGAGUCUUCCCUGGGCCUUUAAGGCCCCUGAAGGAACGUUUAAGACUAAGACGUUGAUAGGCUGGGUGUGUAAGUGCAGCGAUGCAUUGAGCUAACCAGUACUAAUGAUCCGUGAGGCUUAACCUU